AAGUAAAUAAUCCAAUCGUUUUUGUGAUUACAGGGCCCGUGGCGUGGGGUCAACACUUCAGUGAGUUCUCCAAGCUCGGCUUCGUUGGUUCGCCAUUUUGAAAAUGUUCUCGGCGUCGCGUCGCCAUGGCAGGAUUUGAAAAGGCUGGAAUGGGUUCUCGUCCCUACCGCCUCAAAGCGUCGUCGAUACGGUCGACUUUCGCCUGACAGCCGCCACGAGAAAAAACGCAGGUAGGCAUUUUUUUACCCGAUUGCUCCAGAAGGAGGGUUAUUUUAUUUUAUGUACUGAUACAACAAUGUGGUUCUUAUCUCCUAGCCACGCCUUCUGUCCCUUACUCUGCCCCACCUAAAAUGUUUGUGUCUAACAAAAUGGCUAUUGAGUAAAAACAGAAAUUAGCUACUGGCUUUCAUAAUUUCGCCCAAGUAUUUCCUUCACCCUGUAUCGCUCAUAUCAUUGCGGAAUACUAAUCUCCACUGCAACAUGUUUCGUCGUCUUCUGCUCAUAUGACAUGAGCUCGCUGCGCCUGCCUGCGAGCUUCGUGCCUGAGCUCCGAGCCUGAGCUUCGCGCCUGAGCUUCGCCCGCUUGAAACUGCAGAAAAUUAGAAGUGACGAGCUCGCCGCGCCUGCUUGCGAGCGUCAGGCCUGAGCUACGAGCUCUGAGCCUGAGCUACGAGC
Molecule: long non-coding RNA, 675 nt
Organism: Ostrinia furnacalis (Asian corn borer)
Lineage: Eukaryota; Metazoa; Arthropoda; Insecta; Lepidoptera; Crambidae
Exons: 3
Source: RefSeq, a predicted model, not a curated record